GAUGAACGCUGGCGGCGUGCCUAAUACAUGCAAGUCGAGCGAACAGACGUGUUUCUUGCUCCUCUGACGUUAGCGGCGGACGGGUGAGUAACACUUGGAUAACCUCCCUAUAAGACUGGGAUAACUUCUGGAAACCGGAGCUAAUACCGGAUAAUAUAUUCAACCGCAUGGUUCAAUAGUGUAUGAUUGUUUUGCUGUCACUUAUAUAUCGUUCCGCGCCGCAUUAGCUAAUUGGUAAGGUAACGGCUUACCAAGGCAACGAUGCGUAGCCGACCUAAGAGAGGGAUAGGAGACACUGGAACAGAGAGACGGGCCAGACUGGGACGGGAGGAAGGAGUAGGGAAUCAUCGGAGAUGGGAGAAAGGAAGACGGAGCAACGCGGGAUAAGCGAUGAAGGUAAUGGGAUCGUAAAACAGUGUUAUUAGGGAAGAACAAAUGUGUAAGCAACAAUGCAAGUAUUGACGGUACCUAAUCAGAAAGCAACGGCUAACUACGUG
This 497-nucleotide ribosomal RNA is filed under the name uncultured bacterium. RNAcentral's name for it is "partial 16S ribosomal RNA". It matches the Rfam family "Bacterial small subunit ribosomal RNA", at positions 28 to 507 of the family's 1533-position model. The record is from RNAcentral.